UACAUACUCCCUCCGUCCCAAAAUUCUUGUCUUACAUAUGUCUACAAAUGGAUGUAUCUAAAUACUAAAAUGUGACUAGAUACAUUGAUAUCUACACAAAUGUAAGACAAAAAUUUUGGGAUGGAGGGAGUACAUG
This is a non-coding RNA of Hordeum vulgare subsp. vulgare (domesticated barley), 136 nucleotides long. The record is from Rfam. Lineage: Eukaryota; Viridiplantae; Streptophyta; Magnoliopsida; Poales; Poaceae.